CGGCGGACGGGUGAGUAACACGUGGAUAACCUACCUAUAAGACUGGGAUAACUUCGGGAAACCGGAGCUAAUACCGGAUAAUAUAUUGAACCGCAUGGUUCAAUAGUGAAAGACGGUUUUGCUGUCACUUAUAGAUGGAUCCGCGUCGCAUUAGCUAGUUGGUAAGGUAACGGCUUACAAAGGCAACGAUGCGUAGCCGACCUGAGAGGGUGAUCGGCCACACUGGAACUGAGACACGGUCCAGACUCCUACGGGAGGCAGCAGGC
Molecule: ribosomal RNA, 266 nt
Filed under: uncultured Staphylococcus sp.
Lineage: Bacteria; Bacillati; Bacillota; Bacilli; Caryophanales; Staphylococcaceae
Description: partial 16S ribosomal RNA
Rfam family: Bacterial small subunit ribosomal RNA
Source: RNAcentral